AGAGCGAACGCUGGCGGCAGGCCUAAAACAUGCAAGUCGAACGCCCGUAGCAAUACGGGAGUGGCAGACGGGUGAGUAACACGUGGGAACGUACCCUUUGGUUCGGAACAACACAGGGAAACUUGUGCUAAUACCGGAUAAGCCCUUACGGGGAAAGAUUUAUCGCCAGAGGAUCGGCCCGCGUCUGAUUAGCUUGUUGGUGAGGUAACGGCUCACCAAGGCUACGAUCAGUAGCUGGUCUGAGAGGAUGAUCAGCCACACUGGGACUGAGACACGGCCCAGACUCCGACGGGAGCAGCAGUUAGAAUCUGGACAGUGGCGCAAGCCUGAUCCAGCCAUCGCCGCGUGAGUGAUGAAGGCCGUUAGGUUAGUAAA
This 375-nucleotide ribosomal RNA is filed under the name uncultured soil bacterium. Its description in RNAcentral is "bacterial SSU rRNA". It matches the Rfam family "Bacterial small subunit ribosomal RNA", at positions 26 to 430 of the family's 1533-position model. The record is from RNAcentral.